This 74-nucleotide transfer RNA is filed under the name Myotis brandtii (Brandt's bat). It matches the Rfam family "tRNA". Rfam says of the family: Transfer RNA (tRNA) molecules are approximately 80 nucleotides in length. The record is from Rfam by way of RNAcentral. Lineage: Eukaryota; Metazoa; Chordata; Mammalia; Chiroptera; Vespertilionidae.
GCCCAUGUGGCUCUGUGGGUAGAGCGUUGGUCCUUGCACUGAAGGGUUGCAGGUUCAAUUUCCGGUCAAGGGCA